AUCAGAUCUCCACUUUCUCAUAAUUAUAGAACAGAGGGCAGUGCGCAGCAUUUAUUCUUCUUACCUUCUUCACUGGGGAAUGAGAGAAAGCUCUCCACUUUGUUUAGGCCAAAAGCAAUUUCCUGUCACAAGAGUGCUAGAAAGCAAAAUAAUAUGCUUGCAUCGAUUAGCUUUGCCGAAGAAAUGUAAUGUCAUGCCAUACGGUAAUGAUCUUCUGCAGGAGAAAGCUGGGUUUUUCUUCUGCUUGGAGGACCGGGCGUUGCUGUGCCGGCAGUGCGAC
Molecule: long non-coding RNA, 280 nt
Filed under: Musa acuminata (dwarf banana)
Lineage: Eukaryota; Viridiplantae; Streptophyta; Magnoliopsida; Zingiberales; Musaceae
Description: long non-coding RNA (MACU_LNC001374)
Source: RNAcentral